UGGCCUUCAAAAUUUUAAUAUUAUUUUUCUAAAAUGUGUUGGUUAGGUUGGGCUGUUGCUUUGUCUUUACUUUCAUAUAUGUUUAUAGCUCCUCCUCCUAAGCAUUAAAAAAAAAAUUAUAUUGUUAAUAUAAGACAAUGUAUCUUACUUUUGGUAUGGAUACAUUAUAAUCCUGUUCCUUUACAUGAAGUAUACCUUAUACGAUUCAGGCAGUCAGGCUGCAACAGUGGAUAAGAUGCUGACUGAAAUUAGCUUUGAUCCAGCCUAAUCCAAAACUAUGUUCACGUUCAAAGACAAAUAAAUGUUCCGUCGAAGAAAUUUACUAUUAAAUUGUUAAAAAAAUUGUAAAA
Molecule: long non-coding RNA, 350 nt
Organism: Vanessa atalanta (red admiral)
Lineage: Eukaryota; Metazoa; Arthropoda; Insecta; Lepidoptera; Nymphalidae
Exons: 2
Source: RefSeq, a predicted model, not a curated record